AGCGCGUGCAAAAUGCAGCUUGCCCCUCACCCACUCCACUUUACCGUGCAGAGCCAGAGAGGGAAAAUCACUUUCAUCUAGAGAAGCGCGUGCAAAAUGCAGGUCACCGCUGUCCCUAAAAAAAGAUUAAGGAUAGAUUUGAGUUGGCCUGAUGAUGAGAUCUUCCAGACUGCUCCGGCCCAUGGAGGAUGCAGAGCAUCACAUAAGAUCAAACAUUGAUAAGCCAGUACUUUACCAGUGUUUUAUCAAUAUCUUUAAAGGACGAGGAGUUUUUGCACAACAGGAGAGUGAGGUCCGAGCUGAUCAGUACAAUGAUUCUGAAAAGGUGUUUAUUUUCAAUGGAAAGGAAGAACAUGGUGGGGGGUGUUCCCUUAGCUAGCUAGCAGAAGAAGGAAAGAAACAUUCAAACUGAAGAA
Long non-coding RNA from Oncorhynchus gorbuscha (pink salmon), 416 nucleotides. RefSeq lists it as uncharacterized. The record is from RefSeq and is a predicted model, not a curated record. NCBI's taxonomy places the organism in Eukaryota, Metazoa, Chordata, Actinopteri, Salmoniformes, Salmonidae. The transcript is spliced from 4 exons.